AUGCCCAACGGAAGCCUGGAUAAACAUCUAUAUAGCAGUAGGGAGGAUCAGCCUACUCUGAAUUGGACUUUGAGGUUUCAUACCAUCAAGGAUGUCGCGUCCGGCUUGCUUUAUCUGCAUGAGAGGUGGGAGAAAGUCGUCAUCCACAGAGACAUCAAGGCCAGCAACGUGCUCCUCGACAAAGACAUGAACGCCCAGCUUGGUGACUUUGGGCUAGCAAGGUUGUACGACCAUGGGGCAGACUCACAAACCACGCACGUAGUCGGCACCAUGGGUUACUUGGCUCCGGAGCUGAUACGCACGGGAAGGGCGUCCCCUCUGACCAACAUGUUCGGCUUUGGCAUAUUUCUUCUUGAGGUUGCAUGCGGACAUAAACCCAUCAAGGAGAAUGCGCAAGGCGGACAGAUAGCGCUCGUCGACUGGGUGCUGGAGCAUUGGCGUGAUGGUACGCUCAUGGAGACGGUGGACGCGAGGCUCCACCGCGAGUUCGACAUCGACCGGGCGGGGUUGGUGCUCACCCUAGGGCUCAUGUGCUCACACCCUCUCGCUAGCGCGAGGCCUGGCAUUGUACAAGUCAUGCGCUAUCUCACCGGUGUUACGCCCCUCCCUGAGCUCUCACCAACAGACGUGUUCGCCUUGAUGCAAAACCAAGGGUUUGACGCAUCCGCCAUGUCGUAUCCUGAUUUGACGUCAAGCUUUGGCACAAUUUCUAGCCUCUCAGGAGGAAGAUAA
This 732-nucleotide ribosomal RNA is filed under the name Triticum aestivum (bread wheat). RNAcentral's name for it is "partial small subunit ribosomal RNA". Lineage: Eukaryota; Viridiplantae; Streptophyta; Magnoliopsida; Poales; Poaceae. The record is from RNAcentral.